This 6193-nucleotide long non-coding RNA is filed under the name Marmota monax (woodchuck). Lineage: Eukaryota; Metazoa; Chordata; Mammalia; Rodentia; Sciuridae. The record is from RNAcentral.
GAGCAGGCUUUAAAAGUAUUUCUCAGUCAUGUAAUUAUGUUUUAAUGCCAGGUUCUUAAAAUGACUUAGAAAAGAAGAAGCAGCUCUGAAAAUUUUAGGUCUGAAAUGUGUUAGAAGUAUCUGGAGCAGCAGGAGGAUGCAUCAGGAAACGGGUGACAUUUAAUAGGGCUUAAGAAUGAAAAUGAUGACUCUCCACUUUCACAUAAAUGAAACCUCUAUAUCAAAGUUGAAAUUAGAUGAUAUGAUAAAAAUUGGCAUUUACCUAGUGUAAUAUGAUGGUAUUUUCUUAUUAUGAAAUUCUUCAGUGCAAGGAAGUUACGUGCUGGUCCUGUCUCACUCCGUAUAAAACUCCUUGCACAAGGAGAUCCAAUUGAAAUUCCACGGGUGUUCACACUUUUCUUCAUUCCAUGGAGAUGUGGAACAGCCUAGUCUGAAUACUUGACCUUUAUUUCUCAGCAUGCUCUUUUUUUUUUCCCCAGGACAAAGCCUUCUGAAUUCUUAAACCUGGAAGGUGGAGGUGAGAAUUUGCUGGUGAGAUGUGGAUCAGGUAAGUUCUCAGGUUUUCUUUAUAUUUUAUAAAUCCAGACUGUGCUUUACAUAUGCUUAUAAAGGGGGAAAAAAGAGAUAGUUAAUUAGGGUAUUUAAUUGUUUCUUUAGUCCCUCCCCCACCCCAGAGAGGAAUGUGAAAGAAUGAGAAUGGUUUUGUUUUUAUCUAAUUUCUAAUUUAAAGGGGGUAGGCAGGACCAAAAGCUCCUUUGCCUCCAACUGGCACUAUUUUUUUUUUUUAGUGGUGGUGAUGGUCAUGGGGAUUGAACCCAGGACCCCGUGUAUACUAGGCAAGAACCCUAACACUGAGCUAACAUCCCCAGCCCUCUGAGUAGAAUGUUGAGGUGUCUGAGAAAAAAAAAUCAAGUUUCUUUGAGGAACCUGAAGGACUUAAGACACAGCCUGCCCCAGAGUUUCUGAUUCAGCAAGUCUGGGAUGGAGUCCAGAACUGGAAUUUCUAACCCUAAGUCUCCCUUGAAUGCUGAUACUGCAGGCUAGGACCCACCCACUGAGAACUACUGCUUUCAGGUAAGGGAUCUUCCUGGCAACCUGGAAACCUCCUGGUCUCUCUGGAGCUUGAGAUCUGAGCUCAAUGCUAGGGUUGUGCUGGAGGGUGUCUCUGUGUGUGGGUAGGGGAUAGCUGAAUGUAUUUGUCCAAGGAGCAGGCAAGAUGUUGAAAUGGAAGAAAGUUGCAUCUACCCAAAGGCUGAGAAUCAGUGCCCUUUCCUUAGAAUGCUCCAGGCUUUACUGAGCCUGCUUCAAUCUUCCAGUGGGCUUGAAGAGAAGCGGCUUGGUCAGAAUCAGGUGAGCCAACCUCCUCAGAUUAAGCCUAGGACAGUAAGGAUACACACACCCACGGUACAUUAAAAGGCUUGCUUCUUUCUGGGCACCAACUAAGCUUUCCAAAUUUUUAUGUAUGCCCAGGGAUAAGGAAGGGAGACAAAUAACUAAGAUCGAAUUUCUUGCCAAUUCAGUGGCAUUAGGGAUGGCAGUCAGAUUUAAUUUGAAGAAAGUAAUUAGAUUUUUCUUGCCUAUCCAACUUAAGAGUCAAUGCCAUACCUACGACACAACUUUCUGGCUUAUCACACACAAUCCACUUAUAUUUAUAUUUGUGAACUCAAACCCAGUUCUGCCUCUGCCACAGCUUUGUGUUCUCUUUGUUCUCUGUGAGGGUAGGCAGGGCUUAUAAACUGUGUGACCUGGAAGUGUCCUGCUGAGUGGGCACACUGGGGCUGGAACCCAGCCAGGCUGUGAGGAAAGGGUGACUUUCUAUGAUUUUUCUAAUGGUUACAGGUAACUCCUGCAUAAGAUCACACAGUAGGAGCAUGCUAUAUUUUAUUCAGACACUUUCCUCUUGACUUUCAUGUGGCUUCUACUUUUCUCUGCCAUAACUAAUAUUCUCGUACAUUUCUCCUCUAUGUGUAGAUACAUUUGAGAUAUCUGACAUUUUUCACUUGAUUUUCUUCUCACAAAAAUUCUGUCAGUUAGAUAUGCAUUUUGUUUUUUAAAUAUGCAAAGACUUCUAGGAGUGUUCAGGCCAUCACCCAAGGGUGUUAAUUAGCUGGUGCAAGUUGCUUUCCUCUAAUUUCUAGCUGAGAUAUACUAUUUUGAACAAAUGGAAGAGAAACAAGAGGAGAAUGAGUAAAGAAUUAUUAAGGUAGGGACACUUGGAGUGAUAGGGAGUGGCGGCAGGUUUGAGAUACCAAGAAACCAAAUGAUAUCAAGGCACUGAUUUCCUGAGGGUCCUGUGCAAGGAUGUUGGAGAACAGAAAAUUGUCAAGGAUUAGUUUGCAUCUCAAAAAUUAUAAUUCAGUCCAGUCCUACUUUCCACUAAGAGGAAAAGGUACGUACUUUCUUCUCCCUCUUCUACUCUCCUGUAUUGGCAGCACCUCUUGUGCCUAGGAUUCAGGGCUCUGAUUGACCAGCAUUAAGUCCCAGUCUGGGUUCAACAGGCUUUGCAGGAUCAUAUGGCAAUUUGAUGUCACUGCAGCAUUGUUCUUAUAGGAAAUAGAUUUCUCUUUUCAAACAACUGAUUUGAUUUCAGCAUGUAUUUUUCGUAUCUAUCCACUUAUCAGAAGAGCCUGCCUCUGGUUUUAAAGCUCAAAUGUGGAGGACUCUGUCUUACCUUAGUAAGCACAAUGAAAAGCCCAGCUUGAGAAGAAAUCAUUUCUAAAAAGAGAUGUUCUGUUAUGUAUUUACUGCAGUUCUUAUGUAGGGGAGGUUUGGUGUCAUUUUCAAAGAUAUCCUGUUGCAUUAUAAGGUGCCCUGUCUCCUUUUCCCCCAUAAAACAAGGCGAGCCCUUAGGGCAGCUCCUUAGAAGGUUUAAGAGACACAGCCAGUGAUCUCAGUCCACCCUGGAUGGCAGGAGGCCAAAAGAGGGGACUGGUGCCCACUGCAGGGAACUGUUAAAUUCCUGACCUAGUUUUUGAAAAUAUGAGAGGAAAAAGCAGAGACACGAAUACUAGCUGUGGCCCCGUUCAGUAAGACCUCAUUUCUCUUUUCAUUUCACUUUAGCCACAUUUGUUUGAGCAGCAGGUGAAGCGACUUUUAAAAGACUGUCAUCGCCAAGGGAAGUCAUCUGUUUUACAUUAAUUGUCCAUUAGUCUCUAAGCCUCCAUCCAUUAAAAUCCUCAGCCACUCAUUAUGAAUAUUGUGCCUGAGUCCUGCUGUCAGCCUUUCAUUGCAGAGCUGUUUUUCUGCAUCUGACUUAAUUACUCUAAGUGCCUGUUCCUUUGAGCGUACCAAUUAAUGCUAACUUUCUUUCCUUGCUAGGUUGAACAGAGAAACCAAGGUGAGGACAGUUCGGCUGCUGUUUACUCUAAUUUAUUAGAGACCUUUCUGCCACAAGCUCACACAGUGGAUACCUUAUAUCCACACUGCUGUGCUUGCCUGAGGACUUCUACAUAUGUUUUGAAUAGACUUGUUUUUCUAUAGAGAAUAUGCGCCAUAAAUUUACAAUCCACCCAUGUUAUUGUGAUGAGGGGUUUAAAUUUCAUUUGUUCCCUAUUAGUUUAGACACGCACUUUUUAAAUGUAUGUGGCAAUCUGAACAACAGCUUGGAUGAAAUUGACUUUGUUGAUAGAAAAAUUAAGCUUUCAUCCUUUCUAAUUACAGCUUGAGGGGUGGCAGUAGUACAAUAAUUUAAUUACUGUAGCUCCCUUAAUAUAACCAACUCACCUACGUUUAGCCCUGUGGCUGCUGUUGGGAAAAAAACAAAUUUAAAUAGAGGAAGAGAAAAACUCAUUAAAGUAACUAGGAGUAGCUUCUAGAAGUUUUGGAGGCAAAUGAAACUAUUAUGUAGGACUCAGAGAAACAGAUUAACAAAUUAUCCUCAAUGCUUUUAUAAAAGCGUAAGAAAACAACCAUUCAAUCAGAUUUCUUUUAAAAUUUGUACCAUGUUCUCCCUGAUCAAUACUGAAUUUUAUAUAUUUUAUUAAUAUUAAAACAGCCAAUCAAUUAAUAUAAAUUCUUUUUCAAGAUAUUCUGAUAAUAUAUCUAUUCAUUCAGAUUCUGAUUGACUAUUGACCUUAAUUGAAUUUAUUACAGAUUUUAAAACUGUUACCAUGGUUUAGUUCCAUCUUAUAACUGAGGUUGUUAAUAAAUAUCCUUGUUAGUAUAAGGUACUUAUAAGUACUUGUUGAUUUGCUUGAUUAUCUCUAAGCAAUGCUCCACUCCAGCAACUCACAUACACAAUGUAUGCAGAGGGAUUUAAAUUACAGGAUAUAAUCAAAGUUUAAGACUGAAUUUUGUCUUUCUUAUUUCUUGAGGAUUGUUAGGAAAAUAUCCAUUUUUGACAUAAACUAUUCAGACAAAAAUCAGCGACCACUGUGGGAAACACUUAAAAUAGGUGAAGUCUGUCUCUGAGGCCCUAAGCCUUUUUCGCAAGAGGGCCCUAAUUUGGCAGUACCUGCUCCUGAACUUUGUCUUCUUCUCUUACCAUCUGGGGGCCAAUCCUAUAUUUCAUAUAUAUGGCCCUGGUCAGUAACAUGCUUUUAGCAAAUCGUUAUUGAAAUUUAGGAUUGUGACCAUUUUAGAGGGUUAUCCUCUUCGCCCUCAUUAUUUUCAUCCUCAACUUUUCUGGACACAGUCUUGUACAGAACUUGGAGUGGUCCUUCCCCACCCAGAUGGUGACCUUUGUCUUCUUGAUGGGUCAGCAUCCCUGAGAGAAAUUGCUUCUGCACCAUGAGCACAAACAGUGGCUUAAUCCAUUUUUACAGAGGGAAAUUUUGUAUCACUCUUAAGUAAUCCUCUAGUUUAUUUCUUGAACACACCUUUAAUACUUCACCCCAUUGAUAGAACACUCUUAAAAAUCCUACCAGCUUUUUUUUUCCCAACAGUUCUCAGAGCUUAGAAAAUUCAAAACUACAGUCUAAAAAUUCAUUGACAGACAUUAGACAUUUUUAUUUUCAUUUUUUUAUUUUGAGAUAGAGUAUCAUUAAUUUGCUUAGGGCCUCGAUAAGUUGCUGAGGCUCCUACCGCAUUCUCCCAAACAGCUGGGAUUAUAGGCAUGCACUACUACGUCUAGCCACUUUGUUUUCUAUUUUAAUUUUUUUUUCAAAAUUUCACCUGUUUCCUAAGGGAUCCUGGGGUAAAGUGAGGAAUUUAUUUAGGUAUAAAAUGAAGCACAUAGGCAGCAUUACCCGAAGUGGUUUAUGCACAUUAAUCUUGCCAUAUUCUACUUUGUAGUCUGUGAUCAAAUAAGUUCAAGUAGCUGUGAAUAUAAUGUGCCUUUUUGAACAAUUUAUGACACCAUUUCAAAAAGCUCAGUGAGGUCCUGAACCAAAUCGGCCUGUUUAACUUGUUUUAUCCAGCAUUUCUCUAACAUAGUCAACAGAAGAGCCACUGUAUUUUUUGCAGAAAACCUAAUAACAUCUAGAAAACAAUGGGGCAGAUCGUCUCCAGGUGUCCCAGGUCUGGCAUUGUGUCAUCCUAUAGAAAAGUGUUUAUAGGCAUAUCAUUGGUGGCAAGAAUACUUUCUUGUUGCCCAUCAAUAUUGAAGCCCAGGGAGCUCAGUGCAACAAUGGAAUUCUAUUUCUGUGCCCUAAGUACAGUGAUGAGCUAUUUUUCUGAUCCUAACAUUGGGGUAUAAAGAAGUAGUACUCUCAUUAAGAUCAGGAUUGAAAGUAGAUUUCUGGAAACAGUUGAACAUAAUUUCCAUAGAGUGUUAUGGUUUGGAUCUUAAAUGUCUCUCAAAGGCUCAGAUGCUCCGAGCCUCUGGCCAUUGGAAGGUGAUGAAACUUUUAGGAGGGGAGGCCUGGUGGAAAGAUUAGUCAGGGCAUGCAUUUGAAAGAGAAUCUCUUUCUUUUUGCUUCCCAGAUACCAUGAGGUAAGCGACUUUGCUGUACCACAUGCUACCCAUCAGGAUGUUCUGACUCGCCACAGCUCCCCAAACAACAAAGCCUACAGAGUAUGGACUAAACCCCCCCCAAAUCAUGAACCAAAAUAAACCUUUUUGCCUUUAUCGUUGUUUGUCUGGGGCAUGUUGUCACAGUGACAGAAAGCUGACUUACAUAGUAUAAUACAAUUGAAUUCAAGCAUAGUUGAGUGCUGUAGUGCAAAAUAAGAUGGGGAGUUCUACAGAAAUUCCCCAAAGACCUGUAAUUCUCAUUAACAACAUGGUGCCAGCAAGUCCUAGAGUCCCGCUCAG